This 716-nucleotide ribosomal RNA is filed under the name uncultured bacterium. RNAcentral describes it as "bacterial SSU rRNA". It matches the Rfam family "Bacterial small subunit ribosomal RNA", at positions 87 to 804 of the family's 1533-position model. The record is from RNAcentral.
AUGGGCAACCGGCGAACGGGUGCGUAACACGUGAGCAACCUACCGAACUGUGGGGGAUAGCCGGCCUAACGGCCGAGUAAUACCGCAUACGCUCUCAGAGAGGCAUUUCUUUGAGAGGAAACCUACGGGACAGAUCGAGGGGCUCGCGGCCUAUCAGCUAGUUGGCGAGGUAACGGCUCACCAAGGCAACGACGGGUAGCUGGUCUGAGAGGAUGGCCAGCCACAUUGGGACUGAGAUACGGCCCAGACUCCUACGGGAGGCAGCAGUGGGGAAUCUUGCGCAAUGGCCUAACGGCUGACGCAGCGACGCCGCGUGUGGGACGAAGCUCUUCGGAGUGUAAACCACUGUUGCCCGGGACGAACAGCUCGAUUAAUCGAGCCUGACGGUACCGGGUGAGGAAGCACCGGCUAACUCCGUGCCAGCAGCCGCGGUAAUACGGGGGGUGCGAGCGUUGUCCGGAAUCACUGGGCGUAAAGGGCGCGUAGGUGGUUUGAUAAGGGUGUGGUGAAAGUCCGGGGCUCAACCCCGGAUCUGCCGUGCCGACUGUCAAACUCGAGGACUGUAGAGGCAGACGGAAUUCCGGGUGUAGCGGUGGAAUGCGUAGAGAUCCGGAGGAAGACCGGUGGCGAAGGCGGUCUGCUGGGCAGUUUCUGACACUGAGGCGCGACAGCGUGGGGAGCAAACAGGAUUAGAUACCCUGGUAGUCCACGCCGUA